Molecule: unclassified non-coding RNA, 779 nt
Filed under: soil metagenome
Description: partial contains internal transcribed spacer 1, 5.8S ribosomal RNA, and internal transcribed spacer 2
Rfam family: 5.8S ribosomal RNA (bases 160-313)
Source: RNAcentral
CAAGAAACGAGGCCGCGUGCGCUCGCCCGCCCGGCCCCGCUCCUUACCUUGCCUACUGCAACCGUUUGUUGCUUCCUGGCGGCGGACUGCCCGCCGCCAGGGACGUUGAUACAACCCUGUAUAGAAGCAUUGAAGCUCUGAGAAAACGCGAAAUCGUACAACUUUCAACAAUGGAUCUCUUGGUUCUGGCAUCGAUGAAGAACGCAGCGAAAUGCGAUAAGUAGUGUGGAUUGCAGAAUUCAGUGAAUCAUCAAAUCUUUGAACGCACAUUGCGCCCCUUGGCAUUCCAUGGGGCAUGCCUGUUCGAGCGUCAUCUAAACCCUCAAGCCCCCGGCUUGGUGUUGGGUGCCUGUCCCCGCUCCCCGCGCGGACUCACCCCAAAUGCAUUGGCAGCCGCCUCUCGGCUUCUUGCGCAGCACAGUGCGCAGCGAGGCGAGGUGAGGCGUGCGUCCAGCAAGCAACCACCCAAGUUUGACCUCGGAUCAGGUAGGGAUACCCGCUGAACUUAAGCAUAUCAAUAAGCGGAGGAGGUCAUUUAGAGGAAGUAAAAGUCGUAACAAGGUUUCCGUAGGUGAACCUGCGGAAGGAUCAUUAAAAGAUAUAGCAUAUUCUUCUGAAUAUACUUUAUUAACCCAUUCCGAGUACCUUACCCGUUGCUUCCCGCGAGGCUGUCCUCACGGCCCUCUGAAGAUUUAUCUUUGGGGAGUCCUUGCGGAAGGUAUACAAUAACUCUUGCAUUACCAUGUCAUCUGUCUGAAUCUGUUUAAAAACAAAUAUUA